This is a long non-coding RNA of Carya illinoinensis, 2724 nucleotides long. RefSeq lists it as uncharacterized. The record is from RefSeq and is a predicted model, not a curated record. NCBI's taxonomy places the organism in Eukaryota, Viridiplantae, Streptophyta, Magnoliopsida, Fagales, Juglandaceae. The transcript has 2 exons.
AACCAGAUCGACACUGGAUGCGUACUCAUAUAAUAGACCCAUUACAUCCUAUUCACUGAUCCCUAGGUUGUUAAUCUAGAAAGAACAAUUUUGACCUUAAUUUGUAUCUGAUGGUAUUUGCAUCCUUUAGAAAAAUAAAAUUAUAUCUUCAAUCCAAACAUCUUUCAAUCUGAAAAAACCACAUAUUCUAUUUACACCUUUCAUCCAAUUACUUGCCUAAAUUUGAAUGAAAGUAACGGAAAAAAUUCUGUCUACAUUCACAAAACACAAUAACAAUACGACUAAAAAAAAUUCUUAGAAUUUGUUUUUAGCUAAUCAUAUUAAUAAAAUAUGUAAAAAAUAUAUAAAAAAGAAAAUUUUUGUUUAACCAUAUACCCAUAUCUCUGUCCUUGUAUGCAUUUAAAAAAAAGUAGUUUCAAAGAAAGGCUGAAAACCCAUGCUAAUAGGCCCGCCAACCUAGCAGUGAUGACCCAAUGGGCUCUAUUCUAUUAAUCAAAACCACAGUCGAAAGUCGGUAAAGGUGUAGUCUUAGUGGAUUUAGGCCUACACUUUCACUCCUACAGACUGUACCUGUAAGCGCAAGUUCGACUUCGCCGAGUACAGACCAUGCCACCUUCUCUGAAAGUCGACUAUUUUCCCAGAAGUGAAGGGACAGAUAUGGGGCGUACAAGCAAAGAUCUUCUGCAUUUCGAGCACAAGAAGCCCUCCACCUCACCAUUGGGUCUCUAUCUUUCUCUCCAGUGAUUUGUGAGGUCAGCAUGACAUGUAUGUAUCUGGUUUCGAAUUCCUCAUCUAAGUCCGUGGGUGUCGGUAUUUUGUGCAGAGUCCAUACUUCUUGUUCGCAAAAAGGACUCAGUCGCUCAUCCCCAGAAACCCCUCCCUGAUGGAAAGCUCCCCAAAAGCCAAUCUUUGAGCUUUAAAAUGCCUUUUGAACUUUAAGUAUGCUUCGUUUUUGUUGUUUAGGGUCAUGAAUCUGCCUGCAAGAAAUGAACCUAUGCCGUAGGUUUACAUUAAUAAUCUUUAAUUGUGAGUUCCAAAUUUUGCAUACAAAUGCUAUGGCUUAUGUUCUCUAAUCGUGCCAUUGUUUGUGCAAUUCCAAUUUUAGAUUAAACGACUCGUGUUGGCCUACUUCUAGAAUGAGCCGGAUUGUAUUACCGUAGUGUUUUUCAUUAGAAGUAAUUUAGUGUCUUUGCUCUUCUGUACACACUGAAUUAAAGCUUUUCCAAGUAUAGGAGUUUGUCCCAACUUGCAUGAUUAAGGUGGCUCUAGAAUGAAAAAAGGUUCUCAAAUGUAGACUUCGGUUUUUUUUUUUUUUUUUUGAUAGGUAGACUUUGGUUUUCAAGUACGCAAAGUCGAGAAUAUAUUUUUUUUUUUUCUUUUUUCUAAAGAACUUGCUAGACAAAGUAUCUUUCUGAACAUCUAAAAGGCUAUUUUUCUGGGAGUAGCUCACUCAAGAAUUUGCUGGGGAAAAGAACUCAAUCCAAGCUUAAAUCAAAAUUCCUAGAACUUGUAUUUUUCCUUCAGCUGCAACUGCAAGUCCUACAAAAUGAAAGAACCUUUCUUCAUCAUACUGAAGGAUGAACGUCUGUGAUAAGAUUGUGUAUACUUGUUAUGAAAAUUCCUUAAUGCAAAGUUGGGUUUUGAGAGGUCUUGAUAAGAUCAUGUGUACUUUGUUAAAGCAUGGUCCUCAUCUCUCUAAUAUAAGAUGCUAAUUACAUGGAGAUGGAUUUUCCUUUGGCCAUGGCAGAGCUAAGUUUCAAGCCGUGGAUAUAUCUUUCCCAUAGAUCUUUUGCUUGGAUGCAGAUGGUAACAUGCUGUAUUUCUUGUUACAGUACAUUCUAGCAUAAUAAUAAGUACUCUUUUAUUAGAAGAAAUUUGGUAUAAUACGAGGAAAAUGUUUUUUUAUUCAUUUAUUCACCAAUUUGAAGAACUUGAUAAUCUUACUUUCUCAUUUGAACUCUCCAAAACAUCUCCUCAAUUGCCUGUAGUAAUAUAUAUUGCAAAAGAAAUUGAGACCACUCUCUAACAAUUGGCCGUACUUAAUUUCUUUUCUCUGCUGCAUUUUUGGGAAAAAUUAAAGACUUCUCAGGAGUGAUAUAUAUCAGAAGCUAAUCAUGAGAGGCUUCAGCUCGGUGCAAAGGUUGUGUUUUGAUCUCUACCCGAGCUGUAUUGUUGAAUUGGUUUCCGAUGAUUCGGGGACAGAACUUGAUGCUUGGUGUUGCCAAUCUGCAUACGCCCGAUCGAUCAGGCUGUUACUGCUGCUGAAUCCGCAAUUUCUGGUUCUCAGACUGAUUCCGUUGGUGGCUGCCAAUAGUAGCUGAACAGAUUCGGAGGGUAGCAGUGAUAAUGCUAGUGAUAAAGAUGAUGUUGAUAACAAUAUUAGUGGCGAUGAUGGUAACAAUUAAAAGAUGCCCUCCAGGGAAUCUCGAAAGUAUCAAAUUCUGAUCGAAGGCAAAAGAGGGGGGGAUGAGUUAUGAUUGUGAUCAAAGUGUUUCGCUGCGUACGUACAGCUUGAUUCACCCUUAGUAAAGUCUUGUACGUAUAUGUCAUGCUUACACGCAGCGUGCUGAAUUGCGCCAAAUUAAACCGCUUGAAUGGAGUACUAGUGGUCAACAUAUGAAUUUGUGAAGUAAUAUUUAACAGUUGCGCUAAUUCCCAACUGCGUACGUAGUCUAUCUGUAGAUGCCUUAUUUUUUAUGUAUCGCUGCUUGGAUUUAUAGAUGA